RNAcentral lists this ribosomal RNA (713 nucleotides) under Hoylesella nanceiensis. RNAcentral's name for it is "bacterial SSU rRNA". It matches the Rfam family "Bacterial small subunit ribosomal RNA", at positions 1 to 704 of the family's 1533-position model. The record is from RNAcentral. Lineage: Bacteria; Pseudomonadati; Bacteroidota; Bacteroidia; Bacteroidales; Prevotellaceae.
ACAAUGUAGAGUUUGAUCCUGGCUCAGGAUGAACGCUAGCUACAGGCUUAACACAUGCAAGUCGAGGGGCAGCAUGUUGGUUGCUUGCAACCAAUGAUGGCGACCGGCGCACGGGUGAGUAACGCGUAUCCAACCUACCCAAUACUCAGGCAUAACCCGUUGAAAGACGGACUAAUUCCUGAUGGUAUGUAUUUUUCUCAUGAAUUAUACAUUAAAGAAUUUCGGUAUUGGAUGGGGAUGCGUCUGAUUAGUUUGUUGGUGAGGUAACGGCUCACCAAGACAUCGAUCAGUAGGGGUUCUGAGAGGAAGGUCCCCCACAUUGGAACUGAGACACGGUCCAAACUCCUACGGGAGGCAGCAGUGAGGAAUAUUGGUCAAUGGAUGCAAAUCUGAACCAGCCAAGUAGCGUGCAGGAUGACGGCCCUAUGGGUUGUAAACUGCUUUUAUGUGAGAAUAAAGUUAGGUAUGUAUACUUAUUUGCAUGUAUCACAUGAAUAAGGACCGGCUAAUUCCGUGCCAGCAGCCGCGGUAAUACGGAAGGUCCAGGCGUUAUCCGGAUUUAUUGGGUUUAAAGGGUGCGUAGGCCGUUUGAUAAGCGUGCUGUGAAAUAUAGUGGCUCAACCUCUAUCGUGCAGCGCGAACUGUUGAACUUGAGUGCGUAGUAGGUAGGCGGAAUUCGUGGUGUAGCGGUGAAAUGCUUAGAUAUCACGAAG